AUCCAUGGCUGGGUGUUAUAACCUGUAAUCCAAAAGAAGCCUUGGGAGUAAGGAUGGGGGAGGUUGGUCAGAGUUAAUGGAAAAAACACAGCAUAAAAGAUGAUCCACUGUUACAGCGGGGUCAACAUCCACAGAGUCCGUAUGGAUUACUGCGAAGGUUGAUAAUGACAGAUCCUAGGUACAGGCUAGCAAUAGAGCACACAAAGAAAUGCGCCUCGUCGGGAGUGGGGGAAAGUCAUCCUAAAUGUGUCCAAAGAUAAUGAUUAGCUAAACUUCAGACAAA
This is a non-coding RNA of Dictyostelium purpureum, 283 nucleotides long. It matches the Rfam family "Dictyostelium signal recognition particle". Lineage: Eukaryota; Evosea; Eumycetozoa; Dictyosteliales; Dictyosteliaceae. The record is from Rfam.